GGAGGAACCGUUGUAAAUACCUGUAAUUGAGUUUGACGAUGCCAAUCGAUCCACAGGAUACAAUAAUCGGCGGGUUUCAAUUCUCCAUAGUUUGAAAAACCAAUGGCGAACCAGAAUAUACGAGAUGCUACCAAACGAUGAAGAACAAAAUCCUGAUACGUUAACACGUUCAAGGAUAUACCUCCAAUGGAACGUGGCUUCCGAACCAAGUGGAAUCGUGUGUACGCUGGUUUUAUCCGAAUAGUCUUGUUUGCUUUGCUGAUGAUUAUGCCAAGAUAGACACGAGCCGGUAUUAAAAAUUGAAAUUCGCCGCGACGCGUAUGAUUUAUUCGAUGGAAUUGUUGGUGUUCCGAUAUCGCGUUUAUGCAACAGGCAUCUCUAUGGUGUUUCACUCUCUCGUCGUUGACAUCUACUGACAGGAUCAGGACGAUUAAGAUGGGCAAAGAAUUCAUACGACGCCGGCUUGCCGCCGAUUCGUUGCGGCAGCUAUCGGGGUUCGCGAAGUAUUCGUCUCCUUACUCGCCGUCGAUUGCUUCGAAUACAGAUAAGCGCGAGAAGAGACACCUGGCAAGGAUCGAUACUGAUUUAGAAAAUAAGAGGAAGACAGAGCUAUGUCACUCGAUAUAUUGAAACAAAGAACCAGACGAGUGGGGUCAAAGGAAAUGGUAAAUCAUUGUGCGCCGGUCCUUUCUAAAAAAAAAAAAAGAACAAUUUGGGCAAGCUUCGUCCUUUAGGAUCAAUGAAUGCAUCGAUCCCUUUCGUGACCAGGGACGGUCGUGUGAUAUACAAUGGUCCAGUUACUCUCACGGACUCGCAACCUACCUACGUCGCCCAGGUAAAAGAUCUUGUCUGAGACCUUGACUUCCGGUUAGUCGCCGCGACCGUACAGACUGUAUUUAAACGGCAGGUGCACUGUCUGUGAAGUCCACGAUGAAACGCGUUUUGUAUUUGUCAGAUGUGCAAUUUACACAGAUCGACUGACUUUCAAAAUAUUAAACGUCUUACUCAUCUACAAAAUUAUCUAAGGAAGCGACCCUCUAAUUGUUUGAAACGCUAUAGCAUAUAUUUGUGGUUUGAAUUACUGCUCGCUGGACUUUGAUUAUGCAAUAUUACGAAAGGACAGUCACGAAGUGUGAAAUACAUGUAUAUCGUCUUGCAAAUCAUUCAAUUAACAUUUCAACGAAGUAUGUAGGUACAUUCCGCUGUAAAUGUUUACAUAGCUUUUACGAUCGGAUCAAAUAUUAUGAUAAGCGUAGCCUGAGCACACGUACUUUAUUUGAUAUAAACGAUUCAAAGAACGCACGAAUGUUACAAAAAAAAAAAGUUCUUCGAGUACAUUUCAAUGUUUUACUUUUUACUUUUUACUUUUUAAACUUCUUAACGGCUGGAUUUUUGAACUUUUACGAUUAUCUAUGCGACCAUGAGACGCGUAACAUUGCAAAUUAAAAUAUAAAAUUAAGCAGACCAUGCUUAUACAGAUUAGAUUUGUUACGCACUUGUACUUCGUAAUUAGAAAUUGAUAUCAGACUCGUGUACACGACGUGAGCUUCCUUGUUAUCAGAAGCCACCGAGAACCAGACGUAGCCCCACGAAAAAAAAAAGAAACUUCUGGAGGCUAAUGAAGUUGGAUUGAACUUAAUUGAAAAUUUUAAUCGCUUCAUGAACGGCUCGCUCGGAGCGUCUAGGCUCUCGUAUUACGCAAUUGCAUCGUUAAAUUGAUAGCCAGCAAUUUUCAC
Long non-coding RNA from Hylaeus anthracinus, 1736 nucleotides. RefSeq lists it as uncharacterized. The record is from RefSeq and is a predicted model, not a curated record. NCBI's taxonomy places the organism in Eukaryota, Metazoa, Arthropoda, Insecta, Hymenoptera, Colletidae. The transcript has 5 exons.